RNAcentral lists this ribosomal RNA (476 nucleotides) under uncultured bacterium. RNAcentral describes it as "bacterial SSU rRNA". It matches the Rfam family "Archaeal small subunit ribosomal RNA", at positions 726 to 1192 of the family's 1478-position model. The record is from RNAcentral.
AGACAAUAGAUACCCCCGGUAGUCCCAGCUGUAAACGAUGCAGACUCGGUGAUGAGUUGGCUACAUGCCAUCUCAGUGCCGCAGGGAAGCCGUUAAGUUUGCCGCCUGGGGAGUACGGUCGCAAGACUGAAGCUUAAAGGAAUUGGCGGGGGAGCACCCACGAAAGGGGUGAAGCCUGCGGUUCAAUUGGAGUCAACGCCGGAAAUCGUUACCGGGGGCGACAGCAGUGUGAAGGUCAAGCUGAAGACUUUACCAGACAAGCUGAGAGGAGGUGCAUGGCCGUCGCCAGCUCGUGCCGUGAGGUGUCCUGUUAAGUCAGGUAACGAGCGAGACCCCUGCCUCUAGUUGCUACUAUUAUUCUCAGGAGUAGUGGAGCUAAUUAGAGGGACUGCCGUCGCUGAGACGGAGGAAGGAGGGGGCUACGGCAAGUCAGUAUGCCCCGAAACCCUCGGGCCACACGCGGGCUGCAAUGGUAA